This is a long non-coding RNA of Alexandromys fortis (reed vole), 875 nucleotides long. RefSeq lists it as uncharacterized. The record is from RefSeq and is a predicted model, not a curated record. Lineage: Eukaryota; Metazoa; Chordata; Mammalia; Rodentia; Cricetidae. The transcript has 3 exons.
ACGUCCUGGAAAUGCAGAGCAGAGGAACCCUGAACCUGAAAAGGGUCUUACAGAGGAUUGUGCAACUCUAUCGUCUCAGGUACAGCAAGAAAACCCAGGCUCUAAGCACAGGAAGUGUGGAGAAGGAUAAGCAGGAAAUCUCAGGAUGAUACAGACUGUUCAGUACUCAACAAGGGAAGCCAUUGGCUUUGAAGGUUGCACUUUAAAAAGUUUAACUUUAACCCCAGCAAAGAAUCACUGGACUGUCUCCAGGCAAAGUCCUUGCAGAACAGAGAUAAACCUUUGUGGGAGGAGUUGUGGGAAUGUGGCGCUGGCUGUCCUGGAACUCACUCUAGACCAGGCUGGCCUCAAAUUUAUAGAUAUCUACCUGGUUUGCCUCCUAAGUGCUGGGAUUAAAGGUGUGCGCCACCACUGCCCAACAAGAUUUAGAUUUUGAUACCUCCCUUCCAUUGGAAUUGGUUAACAUUUCAGUUAAGAAGCCUGGAUUAAGUGAAGUCUUGCUUCAGGAAAGCCAAGAGAAGGAUUAUCUGCACCUAUACUGGCUAGUAAUGCCCUGGGCAUCCAGGCCAGGGAAGCUGAAACCCACUUUACCCUUGACCAGAAGAGGACACCAGACUUCAUUACAGAUGGUUGUGAGCCACCACGUGGUUGCCAGGAAUUGAACUCAGGACCUUUGGAAGAGCAGGCAGUGCUCUUAACCACUGAGCCAUCUCUCCAGCCCCUCCACUGCUUUCUUGAUUGAUCAGGACCUGACUAUGGGUCUCAACACCACACUGGGUAUCUCACAAUCACUUUAACUCCAACUCAAAUGGAUCCAGUGCCCUCUUCUGGCCUCCCAGGUACCUACACUCGUGUGUGUGUGUGUGUGUGUGUGU